Molecule: transfer RNA, 91 nt
Filed under: Sphingomonas oleivorans
Lineage: Bacteria; Pseudomonadati; Pseudomonadota; Alphaproteobacteria; Sphingomonadales; Sphingomonadaceae
Description: tRNA-Ser
Rfam family: tRNA
About the family: Transfer RNA (tRNA) molecules are approximately 80 nucleotides in length. Their secondary structure includes four short double-helical elements and three loops (D, anti-codon, and T loops).
Source: RNAcentral
GGAGCGGUGGCCGAGUGGUCGAAGGCGCACGCCUGGAAAGUGUGUAAGGGUUAACAGCCCUUCGAGGGUUCGAAUCCCUCCCGCUCCGCCA